This 108-nucleotide transfer RNA is filed under the name Tolypocladium ophioglossoides CBS 100239. It matches the Rfam family "tRNA". Rfam says of the family: Transfer RNA (tRNA) molecules are approximately 80 nucleotides in length. The record is from Rfam by way of RNAcentral. Lineage: Eukaryota; Fungi; Ascomycota; Sordariomycetes; Hypocreales; Ophiocordycipitaceae.
GGCUUCAUGGUCUAGUGGUAUGAUUCCUGCUUCGGGAAAUAACCUAGAGUCCCCGGUUCAUAGAAUCGCCUUUGCAGGAGGCCCCGGGUUCGAAUCCCGGUGAAGCCC